This is a long non-coding RNA of Salvelinus sp. IW2-2015, 1613 nucleotides long. RefSeq lists it as uncharacterized. The record is from RefSeq and is a predicted model, not a curated record. NCBI's taxonomy places the organism in Eukaryota, Metazoa, Chordata, Actinopteri, Salmoniformes, Salmonidae.
GUAUGUGGCAUCAAUGAGUCAGAAACGUUAUAGUGUCAAAAUUGACUACAAAGUGUAAAUAGGAUAAUUUGUCAUAGUCAGUCUCGUCCCAAACAGAGUUUUGUACGUGAGUUUGUCACUACUUACUGGAGGGGUGGGUGUGGAUUAUUUACAUACUCAUUUUUUCCAACGAUGCCCAAUUUCCCAGAGACAACAUGUUGUGGUCCGCCCCCAGCUGCCAUGUGGACAUUUGUCGUCAAGUCUGCAUAUGGGUGCAACGCACGCACAUUUCACUCAGCAAAUACGAGUGAAAAAGGGCUUCCAUAAAGUUUGUGCAAACUUCCUAUCCAUUUCAACAAUAUUGCCAGAAAUGGAUUGUCAACCGUCAAACCACUGGUGUUGGAGCUGAAGUCGGGGCUCCUUCAUAUGCAGUAUCUGAGACGAGAGGGACCUGGAGCUGAUCUAUGCUGCCGUGCCCAUCAGGAGUUGGCAAACACCUCAGAAGGGACACAAGUUGAUGAUUACUAAUAAGACAGCACAUCACAACACCGACCACCACUGCUACACAGACCUGUAUGAAGAGGCGGGAGGCAAAAAGGAAGGAGUGAAGGAUGAAGACACAGAGAGUAUGACCUCUGAAUGGUCUUUCCACAGCAGACACUCAGACCGGAAGGCCAGGGGGUACCUGGAGAAGUUUGUCCUGAAGGAUGAGACUCCCGUGGUGGAGCUGGAAGGGUAACCAGCUGUAGAGGAAGGCUUCAGAACUUGGGCCCAGGAAUCAUAUGCGCUGGACAGCUUUUUCUCACACCCUGAGUCUGAGCAUGACAUGACAGAUUUCUUCCUGACGAACGCCAGGUUCUCUCCAUCCGAUGAUCGGUACAUUCCAUCACUGGAUAAAGAAAAGAACAAUGCAGAACGUGUGAAGGAGGAUAAACAUGUCAAGGCAGACGAUAACGUUUUAGAGACAGUGCAGGAAGCGCCUCAGCCCCAAGUGGUGGAAGAAGGGAAAACCACAGAAUUGGGAGCGAGACACAGGGCAUCGUCACAGAUAUAAAAUGACCCAGAGUCUUCCUCUGAGGUGACUGGUGGGGGGAGUGUCACUGAGUCCCCCACAGACCCAAACCUCUCACACAAGCAUGAUGCUCCCACAGAGGAACUACAAACCCUCCCGUUUCCUCUGAGUGACAGCGGAACCCAGCAGAUAACCAAUCAGGAAGCUCCAAAGCCAGUAGCCCUGCUUAGAAGGAUGCCAGUUGCACCUCUCAAGACCUCUCUGAAUCUAGCGCCAAUGGCUCAAGCCCAUACCCCAGUCGAGAUCCUGGAGGAGGGAGUAGGGGAUGGAGGGAAGGAAGAGAGGGAGGAGUGGAAAGCCAAGGCAUCACCAGUUGACGGCUCAUCCUCAUUUUACCAAUCCCAGAUUGCACUGCUAUCAAGUAUAGCUACUGACCCACCAAUUGAAGAAGGGAAAGAAAAGCCACUAAACAAUGAACCAGUAAAAGUAGAGAACAAAAAUACUUAAUUGGCUGAGGGAAACACAGAACCACAUCAGGCUGAGGAGAGUGACAGCCCCAAACCAGAUACUGACCCAGUAUUGACAGGAGAGGAGACUAAAACAGAACCUGAGAAAGGAGAGA